This 468-nucleotide ribosomal RNA is filed under the name uncultured bacterium. RNAcentral's name for it is "partial 16S ribosomal RNA". It matches the Rfam family "Bacterial small subunit ribosomal RNA", at positions 28 to 507 of the family's 1533-position model. The record is from RNAcentral.
GACGAACGCUGGCGGCGUGCUUAACACAUGCAAGUCGAACGGAAAGGCCCUGCUUUUGUUGGGUGCUCGAGUGGCUAACGGGUGAGUAACACGUGAGUAACCUGCCCUUGACUUUGGGAUAACUUCAGGAAACUGGGGCUAAUACCUGAUAUUAGCUCCUGCUGCAUGGUGUGGGUUGGAUAGUUUCGGCGGUUGGUGAUGGACUCGCGGCUUAUCAGCUUGUUGGUGGGGUAGUGGCUUACCAAGGCUUUGACGGGUAGCCGGCCUGAGAGGGUGACCGGCCACAUUGGGACUGAGAUAAGGCCCAGAAUCCUACGGGAGGCAGCAGUGGGGAAUAUUGCACAAUGGGAGGAAGCCUGAUGCAGCAACGCCGCGUGCGGGAUGACGGCCUUCGGGUUGUAAACCGCUUGCGCCUGUGACGAAGCGUGAGUGACGGUAAUGGGUAAAGAAGCACCGGCUAACUACGUG